Molecule: ribosomal RNA, 2271 nt
Filed under: Enterococcus faecium
Lineage: Bacteria; Bacillati; Bacillota; Bacilli; Lactobacillales; Enterococcaceae
Description: partial 23S ribosomal RNA
Rfam family: Bacterial large subunit ribosomal RNA
Source: RNAcentral
GGUUAAGUGAAUAAGGGCGCACGGUGGAUGCCUUGGCACUAGGAGCCGAUGAAGGACGGGACUAACACCGAUAUGCUUUGGGGAGCUGUACGUAAGCUAUGAUCCAGAGAUUUCCGAAUGGGGGAACCCAACAUCUUUAAUAGGAUGUUACGAUUGUGUGAAUACAUAGCACAUUCGAGGUAGACGCAGAGAACUGAAACAUCUAAGUACCUGCAGGAAGAGAAAGAAAAUUCGAUUCCCUGAGUAGCGGCGAGCGAAACGGGAAAAGCCCAAACCAGCAAGCUUGCUUGUUGGGGUUGUAGGACUCCAAUAUGGUAGUUCUUUCAGAUAGUCGAAUGACUUGGAAAAGUCAGUCAAAGAGGGUAAAAACCCCGUAGACGAAAUGUGGAAGACACCUAGGAGGAUCCUGAGUACGGCGGAACACGAGAAAUUCCGUCGGAAUCCGGGAGGACCAUCUCCCAAGGCUAAAUACUCCCUAGUGACCGAUAGUGAACCAGUACCGUGAGGGAAAGGUGAAAAGCACCCCGGAAGGGGAGUGAAAUAGAACCUGAAACCGUGUGCCUACAACAAGUCAAAGCCCGUUAAUGGGUGAUGGCGUGCCUUUUGUAGAAUGAACCGGCGAGUUACGAUUGCAUGCGAGGUUAAGUUGAAGAGACGGAGCCGCAGCGAAAGCGAGUCUGAAUAGGGCGUUUGAGUAUGUAGUCGUAGACCCGAAACCAUGUGAUCUACCCAUGUCCAGGUUGAAGGUGCGGUAAAACGCACUGGAGGACCGAACCCACGUACGUUGAAAAGUGCGGGGAUGAGGUGUGGGUAGCGGAGAAAUUCCAAACGAACUUGGAGAUAGCUGGUUCUCUCCGAAAUAGCUUUAGGGCUAGCCUCGGAAUUGAGAAUGAUGGAGGUAGAGCACUGUUUGGACUAGGGGCCCAUCUCGGGUUACCGAAUUCAGAUAAACUCCGAAUGCCAUUCAUUCAUAUCCGGGAGUCAGACUGUGAGUGAUAAGAUCCAUAGUCGAAAGGGAAACAGCCCAGACCACCAGCUAAGGUCCCAAAAUAUAUGUUAAGUGGAAAAGGAUGUGGGGUUGCACAGACAACUAGGAUGUUGGCUUAGAAGCAGCCACCAUUUAAAGAGUGCGUAAUAGCUCACUAGUCGAGUGACCCUGCGCCGAAAAUGUACCGGGGCUAAACAUAUUACCGAAGCUGUGGAGUACACCUUUAGGUGUAUUGGUAGGAGAGCGUUCUAAGGGCGUUGAAGGCAGAUCGUGAGGACUGCUGGAGCGCUUAGAAGUGAGAAUGCCGGUAUGAGUAGCGAAAGACAGGUGAGAAUCCUGUCCACCGAAUGACUAAGGUUUCCUGGGGAAGGCUCGUCCGCCCAGGGUUAGUCGGGACCUAAGCCGAGGCCGACAGGCGUAGGCGAUGGAUAACAGGUUGAUAUUCCUGUACCCGUUGUUUUUGUUUGAGCAAUGGAGGGACGCAGGAGGCUAAGGAAUGCAGACGAUCGGAAAUGUCUGUCCAAGCAGUAAGUCUGAAGAGGAGUCAAAUGCUUCUUUUCUUAAGGACAAGCUGUGAUGGGGAGGGAAAUAAUAGUACCGAAGUUCCUGAUGUCACACUGCCGAGAAAAGCUUCUAGUGAGAAAACAGCGGCCCGUACCGCAAACCGACACAGGUAGUCGAGGAGAGAAUCCUAAGGUGAGCGAGAGAACUCUCGUUAAGGAACUCGGCAAAAUGACCCCGUAACUUCGGGAGAAGGGGUGCUGAUCAUACGAUCAGCCGCAGUGAAUAGGCCCAAGCGACUGUUUAUCAAAAACACAGGUCUCUGCAAAAUCGUAAGAUGAAGUAUAGGGGCUGACGCCUGCCCGGUGCUGGAAGGUUAAGAGGAGUGCUUAGCGCAAGCGAAGGUACGAAUUGAAGCCCCAGUAAACGGCGGCCGUAACUAUAACGGUCCUAAGGUAGCGAAAUUCCUUGUCGGGUAAGUUCCGACCCGCACGAAAGGCGUAACGAUUUGGGCACUGUCUCAACGAGAGACUCGGUGAAAUUUUAGUACCUGUGAAGAUGCAGGUUACCCGCGACAGGACGGAAAGACCCCAUGGAGCUUUACUGUAGUUUGAUAUUGAGUGUCUGUACCGCAUGUACAGGAUAGGUAGGAGCCGUAGAAAUCGGAACGCUAGUUUCGAUGGAGGCGCUGGUGGGAUACUACCCCUGCGUUAUGGCCACUCUAACCCGCACCACUAAUCGUGGUGGGAGACAGUGUCAGAUGGGCAGUUUGACUGGGGCGG